RNAcentral lists this ribosomal RNA (454 nucleotides) under uncultured bacterium. Its description in RNAcentral is "bacterial SSU rRNA". It matches the Rfam family "Bacterial small subunit ribosomal RNA", at positions 29 to 524 of the family's 1533-position model. The record is from RNAcentral.
AGCGAACGCUGGCGGCAGGCUUAACACAUGCAAGUCGAACGGGCGUAGCAAUACGUCAGUGGCAGACGGGUGAGUAACACGUGGGAACGUACCUUUUGGUUCGGAACAACUGAGGGAAACUUCAGCUAAUACCGGAUAAGCCCCUUACGGGGAAAGAUUUAUCGCCGAAAGAUCGGCCCGCGUCUGAUUAGCUAGUUGGUGGGGUAAGAGCCCACCUAGGCGACGAUCAGUAGCUGGUCUGAGAGGAUGAUCAGCCACAUUGGGACUGAGACACGGCCCAAACUCCUACGGGAGGCAGCAGUGGGGAAUAUUGGACAAUGGGCGAAAGCCUGAUCCAGCCAUGCCGCGUGAGUGAUGAAGGCCCUAGGGUUGUAAAGCUCUUUUAACGGGGAAGAUAAAUGACGGUACCCGUAGAAUAAGCCCCGGCUAACUUCGUGCCAGCAGCCGCGGUAAU